AACAGUGAUGUUAUUGAGCAGUAAAGUCACUGUUUGGCACAUAUUAUUUCUUAAUUUGAAAUGGCUAAAUCAUGUAUAUUAUUUGGAAUAUGGAAAGGCUAAAUCAGGUAUGUUAUUUGGAAUAUAAAAAGAUUUAAUCAGGAAUGUUUUAUAGAAUCUGAAAAGGCUUAAUCAGGUAUGUUAUAUAAAAUAGAAAAGGCUAAAUCAGGUAUGUUAUAUAGAAUAUUAAAAGGCUAAAUCGGGUAUGUUAUAUAGAAUAGAAAAGGUUAAAUCAGGUAUGGUAUAUACAAUUCUAACAGGACCCGCAUUUUUCCCUAUUGAACAUAGAAAAUCCGAAAGUGUGUGUUAUUAUGCAAUAAAAUCACUGUUUGACGCUCUAUAUUUAGACAUGUGACGUAAUAAUUAUACAUGUGACGUAACCACUAAAAAUGUGACGCGCUGACAAUAAGUACGGAAACAAAGGUGCAAUUUAGCUAAUUAUCAUGUACUGCAGCAUUUAUUUGUUGAUGUCGUGUAUAAUUGAAAUAAUAAUAUAUACGAAUUGGUGAUUUUAUUGCUCGAUAACAUCACUGUUUGUCGUUCGGAUGCAAAUCAUUAUAUCACUCGGGCUACGCCCUGGUGAUAUUAUUCCCAGCAUCCAAAUUCCAAACAGUGAUGAUAUUGAGCAAUAAAGAAGCAGUUUGGGAUAUAUUAAUUCUUAAUUUGAAAAGGCUAAAUCAGGUAUGUUCUAUAGAAUCUGAAAAGGCUAAAUCAGGUAUGUUAUAUAGAAUAGAAAAAGGCUAAAUCAGGUAUGCUAUAUAAAAUAGAAAAGGCUAAAUCAGGUAUGUUAUAUUGAAUAUUAAAAGGCAAAAUCGGGUAUGUUAUAUAGAAUAGGAAAGAUUAAAUAAAAA
Long non-coding RNA from Ruditapes philippinarum (Manila clam), 890 nucleotides. RefSeq lists it as uncharacterized. NCBI's taxonomy places the organism in Eukaryota, Metazoa, Mollusca, Bivalvia, Venerida, Veneridae. The transcript has 2 exons. The record is from RefSeq and is a predicted model, not a curated record.